This is a long non-coding RNA of Humulus lupulus (European hop), 593 nucleotides long. RefSeq lists it as uncharacterized. The transcript has 3 exons. NCBI's taxonomy places the organism in Eukaryota, Viridiplantae, Streptophyta, Magnoliopsida, Rosales, Cannabaceae. The record is from RefSeq and is a predicted model, not a curated record.
CCCAAUCACAAAUUCACCUAUAUUGUUUCUUCACUCUUUGACAAAAUCAGGAGCAAUGGUGACCUGCUCCAGUGACUUGCUCCGGUGUAAACGUGCUCAGGUGACUUGCUCCAGUGAUCUGAUCAUUGAUCUGCUCAGUACUUGAUCGAAAAUUGAGGUGUUUGCUUUGAGCAAAAAAAGCAGUAUUGGUUGUGCCCUUUCAAAAUCGAUUUCGGCGAAGUCAAUCUCAUUGGUGAACGGAAAUCAACGUUACCAAUUCCGGUGACGUCAAGCCUCCAGAGCUAUCAUAUAUAAUCUAUGCUGAAAGUGGAGAUGUAAACUUUAUGCAUAAUUGUUUGGAUACCUUGGAGAUGUAAACUUUAUGAAGUUGAAUUUAUCUGUAAUUUGGAUACCUUGGUUCUUAUUCUGGUAACUGUUUGAUAAAUUGUUAUUUAAGAUAUAUUUUAUUUGGAAUCAUAUACAUACACAUUUAUGUAUAUGUAUAUAUAAUUAAUAUAAUUCAAGAUCAGAUGAUAUAAUAUGUGUAUGUACCUAGCCGUUUGUUUUUGUUGGUUUGGACCUUGUUUUGCCAGUAACAUUCCCAGUUUGUAACU